Non-coding RNA from Xyrichtys novacula (pearly razorfish), 1555 nucleotides. Lineage: Eukaryota; Metazoa; Chordata; Actinopteri; Labriformes; Labridae. The record is from the annotation of a GenBank genome assembly.
GGUGAAGGAUCCUUCGCCAGUGGAGUCAGGAUUGAACUCCCACCGCCCUUCACUGGAGAAGGCAAGUAAAGUUUCCCCUGUUGGGCCGCCAAUAUGAAGUGGUUGUGAAAGCGCUAAUGGGAGGCAUCGGAGGUGACUGUGAUUAUGAACUGGUGGGACUUUUGCCAACAUGGCUGACCAAGGCUGCUUUCCUCCUGUGGGACAGCCUGCCAGCAGCUUUUCAUGCUGAUUAUUCUGCAGUUAAAGCAAAGCUGCUCGAGGCUUUUGGACAGAGACAUUUUCUGCAGGUUCCUGGUGGGGCUCGAUCCAACUCUGCAAGCUAAAUGUCAUGAGCAGGGGGCUACUGACCUUGAAGAGGCCCUGGGGCCUUAUGUAUCAAUACUUGCGUGGAACUCAUACCAGAAACGAGCGCACGCGAGGUCCGUCACGCUGAAAAAAAUCUGUAUGUAUCAAUGUGUGCGGGCGCCGAAAUCCAUGUGUGUUUCCUUGAUAAAUCCCAAUCAGCGUGGAAUUGAGCGCAGAUGUCGGAGUGACUGGGCCCAUCCCCGUUACGCCCUCCUAUAAAUAUGCAGAUUUAUUUAAUUAGGGUCUCCCUGUCCUCGCACGCAGACAAAAUGACAAGAAAAACUAAAUUUACGGCAUGCGAGGUGGAGGUGCUGGUGGCGGAGGUGGAGGAGCGACAGCGUGUUUUGUUUGGCAGCCUAUCCAGUGGCUUCAGUGCAAAACAAAAACGCUUGGAGUGGGAGAAAGUUUGCGAGAGGGUGAAUGCGGUGGGUUCCGAGACACGCACCCCCGCGAAGAUUAAAAAAAAGUGGUCGGACCUCAAGGUGGAGGUCAAGCGGCGUACAGCUGCCCUCCGGAGGAGUACUGGCCAGACAGGUGUGGGUCCGGGGGAGGAGACCCUCACACCGUUUGAGCAGCGGGUGGUGGCGAUUAUUAUUAUAGGGUAAGUGGCGUGUCACACAAAUGUCCACAUGCUUUGUCAUCCCACUGAGCAAAAGACGUAUAUUAGACGUCUAGUCUAAGUUUAUACUUCAUUUCAACGUCGGGAUUCAGUCUAUUUUUAGACGUGAUUUAUACUUCGCCCUUAACUUCAUUUUUCGAUAACUUUUUAUGCAAUAAACAACUGUAAUGUGCAUAACUGACCUCGAAAUACUGGAUUACAUUACCUAUGAUACCGUGGAGAGAGAUGUAAACGCAACAGAUACACAGAAGCAGGAAUUGAAAUGAACAAAUAUUUUUAUUGUGUCACAGAAAUCAAUGUGUCGGCCGUGUCGGCGGCUUGCGGAACCCCGGCCCGCGGCAGCCCGUCCGCCGGCUCGGAGUCGUCGGCCAGGACCAGCGGCAUUCGGGCCAUCCCGGCCCCCGGCCCCAGCACCAGCACCAGCACCAGCACCAGCACCAGCACCAGCACCAGCAUCAGCAUCAGCGCGCCGACAAGCGGUGGAGCGUCCACCAGCCGCGGCGCCUCCGCUGGACCACCCGGACGCAGUGGAAGGGUCCUCGCGGAGGGGGUCCUGCAAUCGCAGGAAGAAAUCAUCAGGGGGAUCGCGGG